Molecule: long non-coding RNA, 899 nt
Filed under: Monodelphis domestica (gray short-tailed opossum)
Lineage: Eukaryota; Metazoa; Chordata; Mammalia; Didelphimorphia; Didelphidae
Description: lncRNA (ENSMODG00000036752.1)
Source: RNAcentral
AUGAAUAACUGGGUCAGAGACUCCCACUUACUUGUUGGUCUUCCCUGGGCACUUCUCAUCCUUGUCCUCGUCCCCGGCACUAGUGGUGAUUGGAGUUGGGAAGGCUUGCCAUCAGUCUUGAAGUCUCAGAGGAGACCACGUUCAGUCUGGCUCUCUGGUGGCCCACCAGAUGUCAACAGAACUGCUAGGCUACAAGGCCUCAGUCAAACAGGGUUCCGUCUACGGGAUAUGAACUCUCUGGUCUGUCCAAAGCUCGAUUUUAAAGAGUGGACAGCCAUCACUGCUGACAACCUUCUUCAGUUCUCUGGGCCUGGCAUGAAUGGGAACAUAUCUCCUGAAGCACCUCAGUUAAGCGAAUCAGGACCGCCAGCCUCUCCCACAGCCCCCUCUCCGUCCCACAGCUCCCCGAGUAACGAGCACCCAGGGUCUCCCUUGGUGACAAACAUGCAGCUGCAGAAGUUUAAUAACCAGUACCAGGGGGGGCCUGGCACAGAGGCCCCAGAGGAGGAAACUCCCAUGCCAAACUGGCCAGUGGGGGGGAGCCAGCCAGAGGAGUCUGAGACUGCCUCUGACGAGUCUAUAACCCCAAUCUCAUUGAUUCUGACCCCAUAGAUGAGGAGGUCCUUAUGUCCCUGGUGUGGAGUUGGGACUGGACCAAGCUGGGGAGCUGCCCCGAGCUCUGGUUGGGCCAGGAUGAGUUUGAUUUCACUACUGAUGUGCCCUCCAGCUGAAGCAAUAGGCACUCCAUGGGUAGAGGAUGUCUGUGUACAUGGGGGGGGGGGAUGGGGGGGGGAGUACACGGAAAUGGGUCCCAGUUCAGCUGGACUCCCUCCCUAGUAAGCUCCUGUGUCUUGUGAUUUCUUGUAAAUACCAAUAAAAAAGGUUUUGCCCUGGUGGCA